UUUUUUUCUUUAUUUUUGUUUUGCUUUUUAGGGCUGCAGUCACAGCAUAUGGAGGUUCCCAGUCUAGGGGUCUAAUCAGAGCCACAGCUGCCAGCCACAGCCACAGCAACACCAGAUCUUAGCUGUGUCUGGGACUUAUACUACAGUUCACAGCAACAAGGGGUCCUUAACCCACUGAGCAAGGCCAGGGAUUGAACCUGAAACCUCAUGGAUCCUAGUUGGACUUGUUUCUACUGAACCACAAUGGGAACUCCUAGUUGGAAAUAUUUUAUACAAAAAAGUCUUUCUUAACAACUCUUUGGCUACCUGAAAAUAAAAUUUUUACAAGAAAGGCAGAAUGAAUGUUUUAUUCUCCCUCUUUGUUUACCAAUUGCCACUAAUGUGUAAUUUAGCAACUUCCUAGAGCAAUUUCUAAGUUAAUUGUAAGUUCUUUCUUUUCUUAGUAUCACUAUAACUUGUGGAUGUUAACAUCACUGAUGAAAUAAAUGAUUUAGAAUAUGUUCUGUAGGCAAUGGUGAACCAGCAAAGGCCAUCCUCAACGUUCAAACAUAAAGCACAUCUGCAAAUGUAUCUAGAAAUCAAACAAUAAAUUUACUCAUUUUAGGAGGAAUCCUUUCCCACAAAGCUAAAGCAAAAGCAAAAUAUCUAAACACAGCUAAAUUUUUAGCUUGAACAAGGAAAACUUCCAGGAUUCUGUACUUGUUCUCUGAUUCUCUUCUUUCCUUUACUCACUUUGCUGGCCUUCGUCUCAUGAAUGAAUGUCUGGUUGAGGCUAGAGAUGCAGUGCCUCGGGCACACCUAAGGAUUUCAUCUUAUGUAAAUUACAUUUAUAAAAUCUACAUUUCCUGUAACUAGUAUUUGCACUUUCAUUUUUAUAAAAUAAGAGCAAGUAAAUUUUCGAAAUAUAGAACACUGCUCUAAUAAGUUAAAACUAUUGUGUGGAUGAUGGAGAUGAGGCUGAUGAAGCACUGACCAGCAGUGGGAGAGUCCAACAGGAUUGUCAGCGGAUGUACCAAGGCCAGAAUUGAAUCUGCAAAAGGAGGGUUGGGUGUUUUGAUAGGGAAUGCAUGAAAUUGUUUGUUUGUUUGUUGAAAAAACUUUGUUUCCAUUUGGUCCAAGGCUGGGGAGAGGGCUCCAGGGUGGUUAAAAAGUGACUACUGGCUGCAGGAAGGGGCUUUAGGCAGAAACUCUCACACCAGAGGGGCUCCUCAAAGGCCGCUGGGCUCCAGAGGCUCCUAGUCCUGCUUGAGGGUGAGCCUUUCCAAGAGAUACUCAUCCAGCUCAGCCUGGGGACCAGCCAUCCUGCAGAAGUUGGUCAAGUGGUCUCCGAUCUUUGCCUGCUCCUCUAGGACGUGGCUCUCCAGGAGGUCACAGAGGUGGGGGGUCUGCUCAGGCAGAACCCUGGGCAUGUGGAUCCAAAAGGGCAUGGUUCGGGUUCCCUUCCAGGACCAUGGCAGCUAAACCCCAUAGCAUCCUGGGUUUUACCCCACACAUCCUGAGAUGGCUUCUUUCUGGAAGAGGAUGGAGCUGCCUUGCUGGUUUUGCAUUUUUAAGAGGUGCUUGGUGCCCUUGCACUUCUCCUUGGCCAAUUCUCCAUAAAAAAAAAGUGGCCCACACCCUCUAGAGCUACAUUGUUGCGGUUGAAAUAGCCAGAGAGAGGCAGGUGUGGGAGGCCCCCUGAUGGAGGCUGACCAGGCGGCUGAGAGUGGCCUCCACCUGGCAAGAAUAAUUCUGACGCAUCUGGAAGCCCAGAGUUGAUCCAUAAUAAUGAGUUAAGCUCCGAAAAUGAUGUUAGCUGGUCACAGAGGCCGAGGAUAGCUGAGUGACUACCUCUGAAAGUUUCGAUUGGAAAAAAGUUUGGAGGGUGGUCAGAGGCUGGAGGAAGGGGUCUACCUGGGUCUGUUCCAUUGAAACACUGUUGAAGCGAGGGACACCUGUGGGACUGCCGAGCGCACUGCCUGAUGGGGAAUGCAUGAAACUGUUCUCGGCUGUGACAUGCUGGUUUUGCUGUCAGCUUAUCCUUCUAUCUCUACUAGAAGGUUGGUUAGUUAGUUAGUUCCAGGAAGGCAGGAGCCAUACAUGUAUUGUUCAUUUACUCGCAAGCAUCCAGGACCUGUUUGUUUGUUUGUUUGUUUUUAAAGAAAGAACAAGUGAUGUAUGCCAAGCAAGAGAAAAAUCUACAGUGUCUUUCAUCAGCAAGAAUUAUAAUUAGCUCUAUUUUUUAGGUGUAUCUGUUGCACAUUUUGAUUCUGGUGUAUUGGUAUUAUAAACCACUUUUUCUUUAAAAAUUAAUUUAUCUGAGACAGAGGUAAUACUUUUCAUUUAGGAGUAUUUUGAAAAGCAAACAAAUUAAAUCAAACUAUCGAUUAUUCUAUUCCUUAAGGUUAACAUUUGGGUGUUUCUUCCUGUAAUUCUCUAUGUACAUAAUGAACGGUAUUGGAAUUAUCUAGGACAUAUUGUUUAGUAACCCCUUUUAAAAGUUUAAAUACGCUGGGAGUUCCCAUUGUGGCUCAUCAGGUUACUAACCCAACUAGUAUCCACGAGGAUGCAAAUUUGAUCCCUGGCCUUGCCCAGUGGGCUAAGUAUCUGUGGUGAGCUGUGGUGCAGUUUGAAGAUGCAGCUCAGAUAUGGCAUUGCUGUGGUUGUGGUGUAGGCCAGCAGCUGCAGCUCUGAUUCGACCUGUAGCCUGGGAACUUCCAUAUGCCACAAGUACAGCCCUAAAAGGAAAAAAAAUAAAUAAAUACAUGGUUAAUUAUUCUCCUGUGUCACCUUCUCCCACAGCAGAAAUUCUUUUGUUUGUUCUUUUAAUUUUUUAUUAUAGUCAGUUUACAAUGUUGUGCCAAUUUCUGCUGUACAGUAAAGUAACUAAGCCAUACAUAUAUUUACAUUCUUUUUUAAAUAUUCUUUCCAUCAUAGUCUAUCCCAGGAGAUUCGACACAGUUUCCCUUGCUAUACAGUAGGACCUUAUUGUCCAUCCAUUCUAAAUGUAAUAGUUUGCAUCUACUAACCCCAAACUCCCUCCCCAUUCCACUCCCUCCUCCCUCUCCCUUGGCAACCACAAGUCUGUUCUCCAUGUCUGUGAGUCUUUCUGUUUUGUAGAUAGGUUCAUGUGUGCCACAUUUUAGAUUGCACAUGUAAGUGAUACCAUAUGGUAUCUGUCUUUCUCCUUUGAACUUACUUCAAUUAGUAUGAGAAUCUCUAGUUGCAUUCUAAAAAUUUUAAGAGUAACAGGACCCAAAUCCAAUUUCCAAACAUGAAAUUCUGAUGAACAGGACCACAGAGCAGUAAUUCUGAUCUGAAUUGUGCUUAUUAAUACAAGCAGGCUAUUCCAUGGCACACACAGGUUCAAGAUGGGAGAUUAAGUUCAACAGCCAUUCAUUUAGAUUUGGUUUGAUUUUCUGCCAGUCUUAUGACUGACUUAAAACAGGUCCUAGGACAGAGAAUUUUUUGUUUGGUCGAGGGAAGCAGCAAAAUAGAGGAGCCACCCCAAAUUCCAGAUGAACAGAUAGAGUCAACAUUCUCUUUACACCAAAGUUACCCAUUUACUGCAGCAAAAUUUGAACCAAAAUGUUUAAAAUGCCACCUAAGUUAGGUCAAACAUCCUCUGUGGAAAGUAACCUGUUAGUAUAGAAAGGAAUGGAAAUGGUAAAGCUGAAAAGAAGCUGAAAACAAAAGACCUAUCAAUAGAUACAUUUUGCUUCCAAGACUCUACACUGCGUACAUGUCCUUAUUCAUCAUCCUCAGAAGAUGAAUUGAAGCUGAUUCAGUGUCACUUGCUUCUGCAGUAGUUUCCCAGGCAUCUUAGCUAGGAGACACCCUGCCCCCAGGGUAUUGAGGGCAAAUAAAUAUUUCAAGCCGACUGACAAUAGGAAAGAAUUGUAGGACAAGAAACUACCUGCAAUCCCUAGGUGGGAGUAUCCUGGAAAGUGACGUGCUGAAAUACCGACCCUUCCAGCUGGUUAACUCUGAGAUUCAAGCAUUUGCUUUAGUGAUAUGCACUCAUCAAGGGAAUAUAUAACAGCUUAAGGAUUCAAGGAUUUCACCUGCAGAAUUGGAAGAGAUUCAAAGUGAGUGCCAGGCAUUACUGACUUUAAAAAGCUUAAGGAAAGAACAAUGCUUAGGCCUUUUGAGUCAUUAGGUGUAGUAUAUAUGUGUUGUUUUUUGACCAUUGGUAUUCAUUUCCUAUUUUGGUGACAGUGACCCAUUUUUUUUUUUUUUCUUCUGGGGAACCACUCCUACAGGUGAACCAGAGGUGAAGCAUCCAACUCAUAUUUGGCCAGUGACAGCAAAGAAUGUUCCUAGUUCAGUAAUGCAUUAAGGGAUGGGCAGGUAACCGUGCUGGUUCAGUUAAUGAAUCCAGGACUACUGGGAAGGAUCUCUUUCUUGCUGGACUGGGACUGGAUUGGAUGUACACUUGAGGUUGUUGAGAACCGUAUUGCUAUCACAUGAAGUCUGAGUAUAAAGCUGAUAAGAAGAGCUGAGCCUUCUCCCCCCCUCAACCCCCACAAAAGGCUCUCUCUUUUAUUUGUCUGACCUGAAGUAGGCAUGAAAGGCAAUGCACUGAAAAUUCUAAUUCGACCCUUAUUUUUGUAGGAUGACUACAAGUGUCUAAAUUAAGUAUUUAUAAGGAAGUUGAUGCUUUAUGAUAACAGCAACAAGGUCUACAUUUGAAUAAUUUAUUAUAUGAGCAUUGUAAAAGUUCUUCUAUGGCACUGUAGAGUAAAUAAAAUAAAUCUUUUCUCAAGAAAUGUAUAAUCUACUUAGACAAGACCAGCAUUAAAAAACAAAACCUUUUAGGAGUUCUUGCUAUGGCACAACAAGAUCAGUGCUGUCUCUGUAGCACUGGGAUGUAAGUUCAAUCCCCAGCCCAGCACAGUGGGUUAAGGAUCAGGCACUGGUGUAGCUGCGGCAUAGGUCACAACUGUGGCUCAGACCUGAUUGCUGGCCCAGGAACUCCAUAUGCUGUGGGGUGGCCAAAAACAAACAACCAAAAAGAAAAACCCUUUAGACUGCAAGUGAAUUGCAGACAGUAAUGCAUGUAAAUAUUCUGAAUGGCAAUAUAAAGUACAAACAAAACUAGAACAAAGCAUGAGAAAGAAGCUUUAGACUAAACUCCAAGUAUUUCCAUUUAAUUCACAAGGCAUUGAUCUUUGUAUCCUAGUCUUUUUCUUUUUUUUUUUUUUUUUUUUUUUUUUUGGUCUUUUUAGGGCCGCACCUGAGGCAUAUGGUGGUUCCCAGGCUAGGGGUCUAAUUGGAGCUGUAGCCUUCAGCCUUCGCCACAGCCACAACAACUCAAGAUCCAAGCCAAGUCUGCAACCAAUACCAAAGAUCACAGCAACACUGGAGACUUAACCCACUGAGCAAGGCCAGGGAUUGAACCUGCCUCCUCAUGGAUGCUAGUCAGAUUCGUUUCCACUGAGUCAUAACAGGAACUCCUGUAUCGUAGUAUUUAAGUGGAUUCCUAGAAUUGUAUUUCCUACAUGGAUGCUUCCUGUGAAUUACUGACUUGAAUAGUCAAUUGCCUAUUUGAUAUAUCCAUUUAUCAAAUUCAAAAGACAUCACAAAUUUAUCUUGUCCAAAAAGCCUUCUGCUCCAAACUUGUUUGUAGACACUGCCUUCCACAUUUCAGUAGAUGGCAACCCCAUCCUUCCAGUUGCUCAGAUCUAAAACUUUAAGCAGUAUCUCUUUUCUUAUACCUGUAAGAAAAUCUUACUGGCUCUAUGUUCAAAAUUUAUUUGGAAUUUAACAACUUCUUACCACCUCCACUACUAUCUAAAUUAUUACAAUACUGGUCUUCCUUAUCUUCUACCUCCUAAAAUCUAUUUACAAACCAGCAGCUGAAGCAGUCUUCUCAUUUUAUUGGGAAAAAUCUAAAACAUAUAGAAAAAUUGAAAGAUUUUACAGUGAUCCGUCUGUAUACUCACUACCUAGAAUCUACCAUUUCUAAGAUAACAAAUCUUAUAGCUCCUCUGCUCAAAAUGCCUCAAUGCCUUGCCUCAUUCAAAGAAGAAAAGCCAGGAGUUCCUGUUGUGGCUCAGCAGAAAAGAAUCUGACUAGUAACUGUGAGGUUGCAGGUUCAAUCCUUGGCCUCACUCAGUGGGUUAAGGUUCUGGCAUUGCCAUGAACUAUGGUGUAGGUCAUAGAUGCAGCUCAGAUCCUGCCUUGGCAUAGGCUGGCAGGGAUAGCUCUGAUUUGACCCCUAGCCUGGGAGCCUCCAUAAGAGAGAGAGAAGAAAAGCCAAUUUCUUACCAUGGUCUCCAAGACCCAGCAUGCUGUGGUCCCUACAACCAUCCUUCCCUCUCGUCCAUUACUUUUCAGUCAUACUGGCCUCCUAAUGAGGCCAUCAAAUGCAGCGAGUAUUCUUGCUUUAGGACUUUUGCACCUGCUUUCUCUUCACUUGGGAUUCUCUUCACCUUCCACCACAAAUUUGCAUGGCUUGCCUCUUUCUUUGGAUCACCUUAUCAGAGGUUUUCUCUAACUCUUCCAAGUAUUAAAUUGAAUAAUGUAACUCUAAUGUCAUCCUACCAGGCUGUAAACCAUAAACUUAAUAUCAUUCUGAGGUUUUAAAAAUAUAUACAAAAGAUCAGUAAUUUCACAUGGUUCAAGCUAAUGAAUGAGCAGAAGCACCCUACCAUUUUAUUUUUACCUGAUUUCCAAUAUGCAUAAUAGCACUUCUCACCAUCUUAUGUACUGUUUGUAUAUUGUCUGUAAGAUCUCAAAGGGGAGUUCUCUUGUGGCACAGCGGGUUAAGGAUCCAGCAUUAUCACUGCUAUGGCUUGGGUCAUUGUUGCGGCUCAGGUUCCAUCCCUGGCUUGGGACCUUCCACAUGCCAUGGGCAUGGCCAAACCCCCCUCCCCGCAAAAAACAAAAACAACUCCUCAGAGAGAAAGAGUCCAUAUUUUGUCCACUGCUGUGUAUUCAGUGUAAAACAAGUACUUUGCCCAUGGUUGGCACUCAUUUAUUUAGAAAAUGAAUUCUUUUGGAGUUCCCAUUGUGGUGCAGUGGUUAACGAAUCUGACUAGGAACCAUGAGGUUGCAGGUUCUAUCCCUGGCCUUGCUCAGUGGGUUAAGGAUCCGGUGUUGCCAUGAGCUGUGGUGUAGGUUGCAGACGUGGCUCAGAUCCUGCAUUGCUGUGGCUCUAGUGUAGGCAGGUGGCUACAGCUCCAAUUCGACCCCUAGCCUGGGAAUCUCCAUAUGCUGCAGGAGCGGCCCUAGAAAAGUCAAAAAGCCAAAAAAAAAAAAAAAAAAAAAAAAAAAAAGAAAGAAAGAAAGAAAGAAAAGAAAAUGAGAUGAGUUCUUUUUUCUUUUUUGGAUUUACCUGAGUUAUACAGAAGUUCCUGGGCUGGGGAUCCUGGUGCCAGAUCCUUAACUGCUGAGCCACCAGGGAACUCCUAAAGAUUGAUUUCUUUACACUUAUGUCAGAGUGAGCCUUUAAAAACAGAGUCUGGGGAGUUCCUGCUGUGGCACAGCGGGUUACAAACCUGACUAGUAUCCAUGAGGUUGCAGGAUCAAUCCCUGGCCUCACACAGUGGGUUAAGGAUCUGGUAUUACCAUAAGCUGUGGCGUAGGUUGAAGACACAGCUUGGAUCCCACAUUGCUGCGGCUAUGCUGUAGGCUGGCAGCUGCAGCUUCGAUUCAACCCCUAGCCUGGGAACUUCAUAUGUCGAAGGUGCAGCCAUAAAAUACAAAAACAAAACAAAAACAACAACAACAACAACAAAAAUAGAAUCUGAUCAUGUCACUCCUACUACAAACCCUUCAAUUCAUUUGUAUUGCUUUCAAAAGAUAAGAAUUCUUACUAAUAGGGAUCCUGCUGUGGUGCAGUGAGUUAAAGAUUGGUCAUUGUCACUACAGUAGCUCAGGUUUCUGCUGUGGUGCAGGCUUGAUCCCUGGCCUAGGAACUUCCGCAUGCUGAGAAUGUGGCAAAAAAAAGAAAAAAAA
RNAcentral lists this long non-coding RNA (7941 nucleotides) under Sus scrofa (pig). RNAcentral describes it as "lncRNA (ENSSSCG00060042748.1)". The record is from RNAcentral. Lineage: Eukaryota; Metazoa; Chordata; Mammalia; Artiodactyla; Suidae.